This 513-nucleotide ribosomal RNA is filed under the name uncultured bacterium. RNAcentral describes it as "bacterial SSU rRNA". It matches the Rfam family "Bacterial small subunit ribosomal RNA", at positions 32 to 518 of the family's 1533-position model. The record is from RNAcentral.
AACGCUGGCGGCGUGCCUAAUACAUGCAAGUCGAACGGCUUUUCUAUGGAAGCUUGCUUCCACUGAGAAGAUAGUGGCGAACGGGUGAGUAACACGUGGGUAACCUGCCCAUAAGAGGGGGAUAACAUCCGGAAACGGGUGCUAAUACCGCAUAGUUUUCUUGAUCGCAUGAUCGGGAAAGGAAAGACGGCCUUUGUGCUGUCGCUUAUGGAUGGACCCGCGGCGUAUUAGUUAGUUGGUGAGGUAACGGCUCACCAAGACGAUGAUACGUAGCCGACCUGAGAGGGUGAUCGGCCACAUUGGGACUGAGACACGGCCCAAACUCCUACGGGAGGCAGCAGUAGGGAAUCUUCCGCAGUGGACGAAAGUCUGACGGAGCAACGCCGCGUGAGUGAAAGAAGGUUUUCGGAUCGUAAAACUCUGUUGUCAGAGAAGAACAAGUUGGAGAGUAACUGCUCCAGCCUUGACGGUAUCUGACCAGAAAGCCACGGCUAACUACGUGCCAGCCGCCGC